AACGAACGCUGGCGGCAUGCCUAACACAUGCAAGUCGAACGAGAUCUUCGGGUCUAGUGGCGCACGGGUGCGUAACGCGUGGGAAUCUGCCCUUUGGUUCGGAAUAACAGUUGGAAACGACUGCUAAUACCGGAUGAUGACGAAAGUCCAAAGAUUUAUCGCCAGAGGAUGAGCCCGCGUAGGAUUAGCGAGUUGGUGUGGUAAAGGCGCACCAAGGCGACGAUCCUUAGCUGGUCUGAGAGGAUGAUCAGCCACACCUGGGCUGAGACACGGCCCAGACUCCCACAGGAAGCUGCAGUGGGGAAUAUUGGACAAUGGGCGAAAGCCUGAUCCAGCAAUGCCGCGUGAGUGAUGAAGGCCUUAGGGUUGUAAAGCUCUUUUACCCGGGAUGAUAAUGACAGUACCGGGAGAAUAAGCUCCGGCUAACUCCGUGCCAGCCGCCGCGGUAA
This 449-nucleotide ribosomal RNA is filed under the name uncultured bacterium. RNAcentral's name for it is "partial 16S ribosomal RNA". It matches the Rfam family "Bacterial small subunit ribosomal RNA", at positions 29 to 523 of the family's 1533-position model. The record is from RNAcentral.